UUGGGUUAAGUCCCGCAACGAGCGCAACCCUUGAUCUUAGUUGCCAGCAUUUCGGAUGGGCACUCUAAGGUGACUGCCGGUGACAAACCGGAGGAAGGUGGGGAUGACGUCAAAUCAUCAUGCCCCUUAUGACCUGGGCUACACACGUACUACAAUGGCCGGUACAACGGGCUGUGAAGCCGCGAGGUGGAACGAAUCCUAAAAAGCCGGUCUCAGUUCGGAUUGCAGGCUGCAACUCGCCUGCAUGAAGUCGGAAUUGCUAGUAAUCGCGGAUCAGCAUGCCGCGGUGAAUACGUUCCCGGGUCUUGUACACACCGCCCGUCACACCACGAGAGUUUAUAACACCCGAAGUCGGUGGGGUAACCGCAAGGA
RNAcentral lists this ribosomal RNA (372 nucleotides) under uncultured Paenibacillus sp. Its description in RNAcentral is "bacterial SSU rRNA". It matches the Rfam family "Bacterial small subunit ribosomal RNA", at positions 1075 to 1447 of the family's 1533-position model. The record is from RNAcentral. Lineage: Bacteria; Bacillati; Bacillota; Bacilli; Caryophanales; Paenibacillaceae.